AGUGAACGCUGGCGGUAGGCCUAACACAUGCAAGUCGAACGGCAGCACAGUAAGAGCUUGCUCUUACGGGUGGCGAGUGGCGGACGGGUGAGGAAUACAUCGGAAUCUACUUUUUCGUGGGGGAUAACGUAGGGAAACUUACGCUAAUACCGCAUACGACCUACGGGUGAAAGCAGGGGAUCUUCGGGCCUUGCGCGAUUGAAUGAGCCGAUGUCGGAUUAGCUAGUUGGCGGGGUAAAGGCCCACCAAGGCGACGAUCCGUAGCUGGUCUGAGAGGAUGAUCAGCCACACUGGAACUGAGACACGGUCCAGACUCCUACGGGAGGCAGCAGUGGGGAAUAUUGGACAAUGGGCGCAAGCCUGAUCCAGCUAUACCGCGUGGGUGAAGAAGGCCUUCGGGUUGUAAAGCCCUUUUGUUGGGAAAGAAAAGCAGCAGGUUAAUACCCCGCUGUUCUGACGGUACCCAAAGAAUAAGCACCGGCUAACUUCGUG
This 492-nucleotide ribosomal RNA is filed under the name uncultured bacterium. RNAcentral's name for it is "partial 16S ribosomal RNA". It matches the Rfam family "Bacterial small subunit ribosomal RNA", at positions 29 to 507 of the family's 1533-position model. The record is from RNAcentral.